AGAGUUUGAUCCUGGCUCAGAUUGAACGCUGGCGGCAUGCCUUACACAUGCAAGUCGAACGGCAGCACGGGGGCAACCCUGGUGGCGAGUGGCGAACGGGUGAGUAAUACAUCGGAACGUGUCCUGUAGUGGGGGAUAGCCCGGCGAAAGCCGGAUUAAUACCGCAUACGCUCUACGGAGGAAAGGGGGGGAUCUUAGGACCUCCUCGCUACAGGGGCGGCCGAUGGCAGAUUAGCUAGUUGGUGGGGUAAAGGCCUACCAAGGCGACGAUCUGUAGCUGGUCUGAGAGGACGACCAGCCACACUGGGACUGAGACACGGCCCAGACUCCUACGGGAGGCAGCAGUGGGGAAUUUUGGACAAUGGGGGCAACCCUGAUCCAGCAAUGCCGCGUGUGUGAAGAAGGCCUUCGGGUUGUAAAGCACUUUUGUCCGGAAAGAAAAC
Molecule: ribosomal RNA, 443 nt
Filed under: uncultured bacterium
Lineage: Bacteria
Description: bacterial SSU rRNA
Rfam family: Bacterial small subunit ribosomal RNA
Source: RNAcentral